RNAcentral lists this ribosomal RNA (440 nucleotides) under uncultured bacterium. RNAcentral's name for it is "partial 16S ribosomal RNA". It matches the Rfam family "Bacterial small subunit ribosomal RNA", at positions 338 to 795 of the family's 1533-position model. The record is from RNAcentral.
CCUACGGGAGGCAGCAGUGGGGAAUAUUGCACAAUGGGGGAAACCCUGAUGCAGCGACGCAGCGUGAGGGAGGAAUUAUUUAGGGAUGGAAAGCUCUAUCAGCAGGGAAGAAAAUGAAGGUACCUGACUAAGAAGCCCUGGCUAACUACGUGCCAGCAGCCGCAGUAAUACGUAGGGGGCAAGCGUUAUCCGGAUUUACCGGGUGUAAAGGGGGCGUAGACGGAAUAGCAAGUCUGAUGAGAAAACUCGGGGCUCAACUCCGGGAUGGCAUUGGAAACCGGUGAUCUAGAGUGUCGGAGAGGCAAGCGGAAUUCCUAGUGUAGCGGUGAAAUGCUUAGAUAUCAGGAGGAACACCAGUUGCGAAGGCGGCUUGCUGGACGAUGACUGACAUUGAGGCUCGAAAGCGUGGGUAGCAAACAGGAUUAGAUACCCCUGUAGUC